RNAcentral lists this ribosomal RNA (500 nucleotides) under uncultured bacterium. RNAcentral describes it as "partial 16S ribosomal RNA". It matches the Rfam family "Bacterial small subunit ribosomal RNA", at positions 30 to 523 of the family's 1533-position model. The record is from RNAcentral.
AUUGAACGCUGGCGGCAUGCCUUACACAUGCAAGUCGAACGGCAGCACGGGAGCAAUCCUGGUGGCGAGUGGCGAACGGGUGAGUAAUAUAUCGGAACGUGCCCAGUCGUGGGGGUUAACGCAGCGAAAGCUGUGCUAAUACCGCAUACGAUCUACGGAUGAAAGCGGGGGAUCGCAAGACCUCGCGCGAUUGGAGCGGCCGAUAUCAGAUUAGCUAGUUGGUGAGGUAAAGGCUCACCAAGGCGACGAUCUGUAGCUGGUCUGAGAGGACGACCAGCCACACUGGAACUGAGACACGGUCCAGACUCCUACGGGAGGCAGCAGUGGGGAAUUUUGGGCAAUGGGCGAAAGCCUGAUUCAGCAAUGCCGCGUGCAGGAUGAAGGCCUUCGGGUUGUAAACUGCUUUCGUACGGAACGAAACGGUGAGCUCUAAUACAGUUUGCUAAUGACGGUACCGUAAGAAUAAGCACCGGCUAACUACGUGCCAGCCGCCGCGGUAA